CAAGUCGAACGCGAAAGGGGCUUCGGCCCUGAGUAGAGUGGCGAACGGGUGAGUAACACGUGGGUGACCUACCUUCGAGUGGGGGAUAACGUCCCGAAAGGGACGCUAAUACCGCAUAACAUCCCGCCUUUGAACAGGUGGAGAUCAAAGCUGGGGAUCGUAAGACCUGGCGUUUGAAGAGGGGCCCGCGUCUGAUUAGCUAGUUGGCGGGGUAAUGGCCCACCAAGGCAACGAUCAGUAUCCGGCCUGAGAGGGCGGACGGACACACUGGGACUGAGACACGGCCCAGACUCCUACGGGAGGCAGCAGUGGGGAAUUGUUCGCAAUGGGCGCAAGCCUGACGACGCAACGCCGCGUGGAGGAUGAAGGUCUUCGGAUUGUAAACUCCUGUUGCCCGGGACGAACGGCUCUGACCUAACACGUCAGAGUUUGACGGUACCGGGUGAGGAAGCCCCGGCUAACUCUGUGCCAGCAGCCGCGGUAAUACAGAGGGGGCAAGCGUUGUUCGGAAUUACUGGGCGUAAAGGGCGCGUAGGCGGCCUGCUAAGUCGAACGUGAAAUCCCCGGGCUCAACCCGGGAACUGCGUUCGAUACUGGUUGGCUUGAAUCCGGGAGAGGGAUGUGGAAUUCCAGGUGUAGCGGUGAAAUGCGUAGAUAUCUGGAGGAACACCGGUGGCGAAGGCGGCAUCCUGGACCGGCAUUGACGCUGAGGCGCGAAAGCUAGGGGAGCAAACGGGAUUAGAUACCCCGGUAGUCCUAGCCCUAAACGAUGAGUGCUUGGUGUGGCGGGUAUCGAUCCCUGCCGUGCCGAAGCUAACGCAUUAAGCACUCCGCCUGGGGAGUACGGUCGCAAGGCUGAAACUCAAAGGA
Molecule: ribosomal RNA, 870 nt
Filed under: uncultured Acidobacteriota bacterium
Lineage: Bacteria; Pseudomonadati; Acidobacteriota
Description: bacterial SSU rRNA
Rfam family: Bacterial small subunit ribosomal RNA
Source: RNAcentral